Molecule: ribosomal RNA, 393 nt
Filed under: Triticum aestivum (bread wheat)
Lineage: Eukaryota; Viridiplantae; Streptophyta; Magnoliopsida; Poales; Poaceae
Description: partial small subunit ribosomal RNA
Source: RNAcentral
AUGAGAUUUCUUUCUACGGAUAUGAAGGAUAGAAGAGUGACUUUGUUUUUCACCAAAAUCUAUAUUUGGGUGUGCUUUAUUUUUCCAUUCCAAAUCCAAAAAUUGAUAUUCUUGCUAUGGUUCUCCUUAAUAACGCUAAGAUUGUUGCUUAUUCUCUGGAACUUGUUCGAUCCUUUAUUUGUGACGGAAGCACUCAUCUUCGCUUCCUUCUAUAGCGAAGCUAGUGUUACUAUGUUAGGUGGUAUGAAUAUGAUGGGCGAUGACGACCUGUCCCGCGCCGUAGCCCCGUAUCUCCCGCAGGGAGGUCAGGCUCCAGUAAAUAUUCCCGAAGGACGACCGCUUACAGUGGAAGAGGAAGGCCGUCUUGCCCUGGUGUUGGAUUUGCAAAAUUAG